Molecule: non-coding RNA, 753 nt
Organism: Schizosaccharomyces pombe (fission yeast)
Lineage: Eukaryota; Fungi; Ascomycota; Schizosaccharomycetes; Schizosaccharomycetales; Schizosaccharomycetaceae
Source: the annotation of a GenBank genome assembly
CAAAAAACGAAUAUGUUGCUUAUUGAAGAAUUCAAAGCUGGGCUUAUAAAGUAAAGAAUAAAUUUUGAAUUCCAAAUACUGCAAAUUUAUUAUGUUUUUAAUAAUACACAUAUUUUGAAAAGAAGAUAGAUCGUUGCUGAAGGAGCAUGUCUUCCUCUUGCGAUACUAACACUAACUAAAGACAGCCAUGACUCAACAAUUCUUUUGAGUUGUUUGAAGGGAAAAGUAAAAUCUUUCAGUUAUAAUGUUGCCAAAUAAGAGAUCAAAUCUUAAUAAUUUAGAUGAGAUUGCUUAAGUUUAGGCUCAUCAAUUCGAUUGCUGACAUUAAGAUACAAUUACAGAAAAUAGUAUUUUUGAAAUCUCUCACUGAGGUCUGGACUUAGUACUUACUAAAGAUAACAUUUCAACACUCUACAAAGUGACUCAUACUUUAGCUUUCUUGCUGCUACUCUCCCUUAAUAAAUGAGCUUGAACGAAUUAAUCGUUGCAGCUUUAAAAUUAUUCUGUCGACUUACUAAUGGCAUAAAUUUACUUAAAAAAAUAUUUUUUAGAUACGAGAAGUUUAUAAUAAAGAACAAAAGUCAGAUUGCAUAUUUUUUUGCCAAGUUCAAAUCGUUAUCCAAAGUAGCUUGGUAAGCCGACAGAAAGUCUUUGAUUUAAUAAAUAUUCCAAACAAACAUAUGACAGUAUUGUUCCAUUAAAAUAACUUUAGUUUCACUUGUAGGUUAGUUAAUACCUAACUUAAUAGUUGAC